This 446-nucleotide ribosomal RNA is filed under the name uncultured bacterium. Its description in RNAcentral is "partial 16S ribosomal RNA". It matches the Rfam family "Bacterial small subunit ribosomal RNA", at positions 338 to 795 of the family's 1533-position model. The record is from RNAcentral.
CCUACGGGUGGCAGCAGUCGAGAAUCAUUCACAAUGGGGGAAACCCUGAUGGUGCGACGCCGCGUGGGGGAAUGAAGGUCUUCGGAUUGUAAACCCCUGUCAUGUGGGAGCAAAUUAAAAAGAUAGUACCACAAGAGGAAGAGACGGCUAACUCUGUGCCAGCAGCCGCGGUAAUACAGAGGUGUCAAGCGUUGUACGGAAUCACUGGGCGUAAAGCGUGCGUAGGCUGUUUCGUAAGUCGUGUGUGAAAGGCGCGGGCUCAACCCGCGGACGGCACAUGAUACUGCGAGACUAGAGUAAGGGAGAGGGAACCGGAAUUCUCGGUGUAGCAGUGAAAUGCGUAGAUAUCGGGAGGAACACUAGUGGCGAAGGCGGGUUCCUGGACAUUAACUGACGCUGAGGCACGAAGGCCAGGGGAGCGAAAGGGAUUAGAUACGCGAGUAGUC